Molecule: transfer RNA, 88 nt
Filed under: Bacteroidales bacterium
Lineage: Bacteria; Pseudomonadati; Bacteroidota; Bacteroidia; Bacteroidales
Description: tRNA-Ser
Rfam family: tRNA
About the family: Transfer RNA (tRNA) molecules are approximately 80 nucleotides in length. Their secondary structure includes four short double-helical elements and three loops (D, anti-codon, and T loops). Further hydrogen bonds mediate the characteristic L-shaped molecular structure. tRNAs have two regions of fundamental functional importance: the anti-codon, which is responsible for specific mRNA codon recognition, and the 3' end, to which the tRNAs corresponding amino acid is attached (by aminoacyl-tRNA synthetases). tRNAs cope with the degeneracy of the genetic code in two manners: having more than one tRNA (with a specific anti-codon) for a particular amino acid; and 'wobble' base-pairing, i.e. permitting non-standard base-pairing at the 3rd anti-codon position.
Source: RNAcentral
GGAGAGAUGCCAGAGUGGUCGAUUGGGGCGGUCUCGAAAACCGUUGUCCUGUUUGACGGGACCGGGGGUUCGAAUCCCUCUCUCUCCG